This is a non-coding RNA of Triticum aestivum (bread wheat), 121 nucleotides long. The record is from Rfam. NCBI's taxonomy places the organism in Eukaryota, Viridiplantae, Streptophyta, Magnoliopsida, Poales, Poaceae.
CGUAUACUCCCUCGCCCGAAAAUGAUUGUCGGUGAAAUGGAUGUAUCUAUACGUAUUGUUCUAGAUACAUCCAUUUUUAUAUAUUUCUUCAACAAGUAUUUUCGGACAGAGGGAGUAUACA